This 73-nucleotide transfer RNA is filed under the name Camelus bactrianus (Bactrian camel). It matches the Rfam family "tRNA". From Rfam's summary of the family: Transfer RNA (tRNA) molecules are approximately 80 nucleotides in length. Their secondary structure includes four short double-helical elements and three loops (D, anti-codon, and T loops). RNAcentral also lists the same sequence under 2 other names. The record is from Rfam by way of RNAcentral. Lineage: Eukaryota; Metazoa; Chordata; Mammalia; Artiodactyla; Camelidae.
AAGGGUAUAGCUCAAGUGGUAGAGCGUAUGCUUAGCAUGCAUGAGAUCCUGGGUUCAAGUCCUAAUACCUCCA